Long non-coding RNA from Passer domesticus (house sparrow), 630 nucleotides. RefSeq lists it as uncharacterized. Lineage: Eukaryota; Metazoa; Chordata; Aves; Passeriformes; Passeridae. The transcript has 3 exons. The record is from RefSeq and is a predicted model, not a curated record.
CACUGCACCUUUUUGUUGCUGCAUUAUUGAGUCACUCGUGGAAUUCCGUCCUUCAUUAGAAUGUUCUUUAUGCCAAUGACAGAGAAUGUCUCAAAAUGCACAAGCAGUCCCAAGCACUCAGGAAUCAAGGAGAAGCCACUGCCUGAGCAUUCUCACAUAAAUCAAGGAUUCACCAUCCCUGGAAGUGCUCAAAACACCUCUGGAUGUGGCCCUCAAGGACAUAUGAGCACCUGAAACUCUGCAAAGGGGACACCAGGAGAUCACAGGAGGGACUCAAGUCUCUGCCACCAAAUGAACAUCCUGUGGCAGUGCCAGGGACUGAAACAACCUCUGCAAAGCUGCCAGUAGUGAUUUCAUGAUUAUCAUGAAUUUUGAGCUCUCUUUAAACCAAAGUCCAGCUGAUGCUCCUCAAGACCUGGCAGACAGCAGUGGAUGCUUUCUUCCAGACAAUGCCUUCCUUCUUUCCAGGACUUGAAUUAAAAAGAAAGGUGUGGAAACCAGCACCUUGUACAGAUAAAAAGAGAUGCUCUCUUAUUUCCUGACAGAGUGGAGAGGCCUUGGAGAUCCUGAAAGCCUCUCCAGCCAGAAGGGAUGUGAGAGGGCAGCAGGAGCCCCUCCACAGACACAGCC